GCGCUCGUAGCUCAACCGGAUAGAGCAUUGGAUUCCGGUUCCAAAGGUUAGGGGUUCGACUCCCUUCGAGCGCGC
This 75-nucleotide transfer RNA is filed under the name Chlorobiota bacterium. RNAcentral's name for it is "tRNA-Arg". It matches the Rfam family "tRNA". Rfam says of the family: Transfer RNA (tRNA) molecules are approximately 80 nucleotides in length. The record is from RNAcentral. Lineage: Bacteria; Pseudomonadati; Chlorobiota.